Molecule: long non-coding RNA, 196 nt
Organism: Felis catus (domestic cat)
Lineage: Eukaryota; Metazoa; Chordata; Mammalia; Carnivora; Felidae
Exons: 2
Source: RefSeq, a predicted model, not a curated record
CAGGAGAUCAUGACCUGAGCCGAAGUCGACGCUCAACCGACUGAGCCACCCAGGCGCCCCCAGGUUUUGCUCUUCUCAUGAAACAAGUUGGGGACUGUUACCCCUUUUUCUAUUAUCCGGAGGAGUUUGUGUAACAUUUUUCUUCUGUUCCCUGCGCAUGUGGUGAAAACUGCCAAUAAAGCCAUCUGUGCUUAGA